RNAcentral lists this ribosomal RNA (253 nucleotides) under uncultured bacterium. RNAcentral's name for it is "partial 16S ribosomal RNA". It matches the Rfam family "Bacterial small subunit ribosomal RNA", at positions 524 to 776 of the family's 1533-position model. The record is from RNAcentral.
UACAGAGGUCUCAAGCGUUGUUCGGAUUCAUUGGGCGUAAAGGGUGCGUAGGUGGCGCGCUAAGUCAGGUGUGAAAUUUCGGAGCUUAACUCCGAAACUGCAUUUGAUACUGGCGUGCUUGAGGACUGGGGAGGAGACUGGAAUUCACGGUGUAGCAGUGAAAUGCGUAGAUAUCGUGAGGAAGACCAGUGGCGAAGGCGGGUCUCUGGACAGUUCCUGACACUGAGGCACGAAGGCCAGGGGAGCAAACGGG